AGAUGUGGCCUAGUUGUUAGGAAUUUGAGACGUGUUCUGUGGGAGUGGGGAUAAUAAAUGUUCUGUGCGUUCCUUUUUAAACAUUCUAUUUGGCUACUGGUUAAUUUUCACUAGACGUCAUUUGAACGGUUCAGUACAGUGUAUUUUACAUGUUACUUUUUUUCAGUUUUUAUUUUCUGUCAGAUAAUGUUUUCAUAUCUUAAGGUGCAGUUCCUAUCCGCGCCCUACAGCAGGCCCUACAGUGUGCAAAAAUAUGACCUAUCAACACUGUUGACUUUCUUUAGAGGACUCUUGUAUCAUAAAUAUUUUCCUGCUUCUUGAAACAAAGAAUAUAGGAUGUCUUGAUGCCAACUAAGAGUCAUUGGAAAGGCUGUAAAAAGAUGUUUAAGGUAAUAGACAAAUCUGUAAUCAUGUUAAUAAAGUGACUUUUUGGUAUUCUUAAAUAAGCAGGAAAAACCUGAAGUUGGAGGAUGAUACAUUUGUUUCUUGUUACUAGUUCUGUAAAACAAAUGGUAAAUUGGUAAAAUGAAACAACACAUGACCUAUUACUUAAGAUCAAUUUUUCCCACAAGUGGAGAUUUAUUCCACAAUCUUCAGCUUUCCAAGCAGACACCCAUCCACAGAGCCAUGAGUGAUAGAUGAUAUUCACAGUGGGCAUGACUGUGUUGUAAAUGGGUAUCAUUUUUACAAAACCAAACAGCAGGUUUAGAUAAUGUGUGUAACUGUGAAAGAGAUCAUGUGUCUCAACGGAAAUGGCUCUCACCGUUUGUGACAUCAGACCUCCCCAGUGUGUCAUUCUGAUGCAGAGCUCUUGAAAUGAAGUUGAAAGGUUUAACCAUCUCAGGCCAAAGCUCAAGUUUUAGCUCUGUCGGUUUCUGCCUGUAAACCCAUGAUUACAACUAAUUGAAAUGCAAUUUAUUGUCUUGUUUGCAGAGGUAUUAGAAAAAUGGUCGCUUUUUGGUUAGAAUUUCUUCGCCGUCCGGUGCAUUAAUUUGAAUGAUGUUCACUUCCUCAACGUCAUUGCUCACGAAAACUUUGAUGCAUUAUUCUUAUCUCGAGCUUACAUCGACCUUCAAAGAUCAAAUCCACGAGGUAUUGCGCCUCGUCCGACAACUUACAAUCCAGCAACGCAUCCAUCAACAGAAUGUAUUAAAGAGGAAAGUAAUGACCAAAUGCCGACUGGAUGAUUUCCAUGCAAGAUGAAUGUUAAAAUCCAAGGAGAUCUGGAGAACCAUUAGCUGAAUACAAUGAAUACUAUCAGUUCUCCAGAACAAGAGGCCAACAUAGGUUAAUAAUCAUACUGGAUCAAAAUAGGUACAUUCUUGAACGAGAUUUUAAAACGACAACAGCUGGAAGGGCAUGCGGAAAUUUAAAAGGACGCUACCUGCACGUUACCUUCAGUCGCUGAUUCAUCUCGAAGAUAAAAUAUAAAAAUUUUUAUAAAUUGAAGUGCAUAUCUGGGCUCCCUUCUUUUCUGUGGCCCCGUUUCCCCUUGACUUGUGAUAAGCCCGUAGGGGGUCAUGCCCCUACUGUGA
Molecule: long non-coding RNA, 1535 nt
Filed under: Daphnia magna
Lineage: Eukaryota; Metazoa; Arthropoda; Branchiopoda; Diplostraca; Daphniidae
Description: uncharacterized LOC116935177, transcript variant X6
Source: RNAcentral